AAAAUUUUUAGCGCCAGAACACAUGAUUUAAAAAUUCUUGUGUUGACGAGGUCUAGAGUUAUCGAAUUAUUCGGCGGAUGCUCUAGUGGAUUACUUAAUCCAUAGUAUUAAACAAAAAUUAGCAGUAAUGCUAUAACAAAUAUUAAUA
Molecule: non-coding RNA, 148 nt
Filed under: human gut metagenome
Description: glmS glucosamine-6-phosphate activated ribozyme
Rfam family: glmS glucosamine-6-phosphate activated ribozyme aptamer
About the family: This entry contains a glucosamine-6-phosphate activated ribozyme that is found in the mRNA for GlmS.
Source: RNAcentral